AUGGCCUUCAAACACCCAUUUAAACCCACUGUCCUCAACAUUCAUUGUGAAAACAAGACAAAAACUCAUCUGGAGGUGAGGUUUGCCAAUGUGAGGGUGAAGCUUCAGUGUGAGUUCUUCAGCAAAUGGUUAUCAAUGAGAUAUCAGCUCCUUCAUUAAGGGAAAUUAGGAAAAAGGCACCAUGAAUAAACAGUGUGCUGUGAGAUGUUAUUCUCAUUAAAUAAGCUUUGCUUUACUCUGAGGCUGGAUCACCAACAGUGUACCUGUUUGGCAGCAGAGCUACCUCCAAAGAGUGUAGAGUUGAAAAAACAAUUUAUGACAGGUGGUACAAUGUCCAUAAUGAGCAAGAGGUGAUGUGGCAAGAGGGCAAACCACCAGGAUACAUCAGCAGAGGGAGUUCUGGAGAAGGGAAGCUUUGGAGGAAAUGGUGAUGCCAGACUGGAGCUGGCGUGGAAAGCUGAAGGAGUCUCACCAAACCACACUGGUGUGAAGUGUCUGAUCACUGUGUGGCAGCCAUGUGUGGACAUGGCCAGCAAAAACCUCCCUCACUAAGGAAUCUCCAGAGGGAGAUUUGCAUUCCCACUGAAGAAAAAAGCAGUCACAUAAUUAAAGACAAAGUGCUUGGGCAGGAUGGCACCAUACUCUUAGGUGGAUGCAUUAUCUCUGUUGGAUUUAUUUGCUCUGUUUUCCACGUCUCUUUUCCAAGGAACUGUUUAGCAAAUUCCCUAUGUCCUUCAACUCCUUUCCCUCCAUAACAGCAGUCAGAUGUAUGAACUGCUGAUAGCAUUGCUGCACUCCAUCUAUUCCUGAAAACAGAGAACAAGUUGUGAGGCUACAAAAAUCAUCAGAAGCCAAAAGCAAUUUGUUUGGUUCCAAGGGAGAAAUGGCUUGUCCCUUUAACUGUUUCACCAUAACAUUAGCUUUUAGCAAUGGAACAGCCCUUGCUGUUCAGUUUGCCUAGGUGAAAUUACAUUGUUCCUGCUCUCCUCACUCUUCCUCACUGUAGCCCUCAUGCUGCCUUAGCCAAGGUACUUAGCUGGGGCCCCCUUUGCUGUAGUGAGGCUGUUAACUGCAUUGUUCUACAUCUGUCUUUCUUGGGCUGCUCCGCCAUGGUGCUCCAGAGAUUAAAGGUGUCUCUUUCAGGGAUUUGGAGUGACCUGUGCAAGAGUAGCAUUUGUUCUUUCUGAGCUGUGACGAACUCACUUGCUAAGGGAACAAAUC
Molecule: non-coding RNA, 1221 nt
Organism: Cyanistes caeruleus (blue tit)
Lineage: Eukaryota; Metazoa; Chordata; Aves; Passeriformes; Paridae
Source: RefSeq, a predicted model, not a curated record